UCAUCGCUAGAGGGAGGANGGACACCNCUAGACUUAUAGGCUUUGCCUGGCUCUGUUACCUGACGUCUGAUGCAAAGUGAAACCCCGGGGGUCUCGCGCGCGGAUUGGACGUGUCCACCUCGUCGCCCUGGCAAGGACCGUCUGAUAAAACUUAAUAGUUACAACUUUCAACAACGGAUCUCUUGGUUCUGGCUUCGUUUAAAAACCCUGUGAAGGGCCAUAAGUUCUGUGAAUUGCAGAAUUCAUGGAAUCUUCAAAUCUUUGAACGCACAUUGCGCCCCUUGGUAUUCCAUGGGGCAUGCCUGUUCAAACGUCAUUUGUACCUUCAAGCUCUGCUUGGCGUUGGGUGUUUGUCUCGCCUCAGAAUUCAGACGCUCCUCAAAACAAUUGGCAACCGGCGUAUUGAUUUCGGACCGCAGUACAUCUCGCGCUUUGCACUCGUAACGACGACAUCCAAAAGUACAUUUUUACACUCUUGACCUCGGAUCAGGUAGGGAUACCCGCUGAACUUAACCAUAUCAAUAACCGGAGGAUAGANACCCUCCCGAGGUUAAUGAGGCGAACCGGGGGAACUGAAACUUCUAAGUACCCCGAGGAAACAAACCCAACCAUCUACUCAUUAUCUUUAAUCUGAAUCCUUAGGUUGAUGAGGCGGAACCAGCUGGAACUUCUACAUCUCCCCUACCCGAAGAAUAAAACCUAAAAAACAGAAAAC
RNAcentral lists this ribosomal RNA (715 nucleotides) under Juxtiphoma eupyrena. Its description in RNAcentral is "eukaryotic LSU rRNA". The stretch from base 163 to 316 matches the Rfam family "5.8S ribosomal RNA". The record is from RNAcentral. Lineage: Eukaryota; Fungi; Ascomycota; Dothideomycetes; Pleosporales; Didymellaceae.